UAAAUGAUAUGUAACAAAGUGUUAUAGACACUGGGUGUUAUAUGUUGGCAAAUCGAACUUCAAUAAAAAAUAUAUAUACAUAAAGACAAAAAAUACUGUAUUGGCUCUUCUAAAAUAUUGUCUUCAUUAACCUGUUCUAAGUUUUAAUAGUUAAUAGGAGUUUAAUACAGGGUGUCCAGAGGACAAGCAAUUCACAGUCAUCAAGAGUGUGGUUAUGUAACCUUUACCAGUGUGUAGCAAUAUCAUUUAAUUUUCUGUUCACUACAUCCACAGUUAUACUCAAGCCUACAAAGGUUGCAAUUUAAGUGCACUUUUAGGUAGGUGGUCUCCAAUUCUAAUUAAUCAUAGUUGGUUAAUCUCUAGUCAGGGGCAGAAGAAACCUGUGCAGAUGAGUGCAACUAUACUGGCAGACACUGCUAAAGGACAAAAUUUCUCUCCUUUUCCAGAAUCUCUUGAGGAUGUUCUCAUCACUCAAGAUUGCAGACUUGGGCGUACAGUUGAAUUCAAAACAGUAAUACCUUAUAUAUGCAACCUUUUUUCUCUCCUCACAAACCUUUUCUUUUUAAAAAAAUAGUUUUCUCAUUUAAUUCUUUCUUUCAUUCAUCAAACAUUUAUUAAUUGCUAGAUGCUAGGUAUCUAAAAUUUAGUAUUACAGUACCCACACUCAAAGGGGUUCAGUCUAGAGGAAGAGAUACAUUAACAAACAACCAUAGAACAAUGUGGUAAGUGUAUAGUACUGGGAAAUAAAGAUGAAAUAAUUUGAUUUUUUUUUAAAAAAGAGGUAUCUUUGAAAAGUAUCUUUUAAAUAUGCUUAAAUCACAUUUUAAUAAUUUGUUUAGGAUCCCUACUGUGAAGAGACUUUCCAGUAAAGGAUGUAUGUAUAGGUAAUUCUUACUUUUUGUGUUCUUUACACUCUGUCACUUAACUUACCCCACCUUAUCUCAUUAGCAUCCAUACUUUAUUCUGAGUUCUUACCCAUUUAUUCAUUUCUUGCAGCGGGAUCCUGCAGGAAAGCAACUCAGAGAGUGGGAAAUGAAAGCAGGAAUGGAAAGUGAUUAUACUCACUUAUGUUAAAAAAAGUUCUAAGACAUUAUCUUCAUAAAAUGUGCCCCAAAUUACAGUAAUAAUUAAAGUGUAGAGUUUUGUGGCUCUGAGGCUUUUUAAAAAUGAAUUUUUGGUUUCUUUAUUAUAGACAGCAGGAGUUGCCCAAUAUAUGACCUGUGGGAAAGUUUCUUGGUAUGUCUUUUGACAGGUUUUUAAGUGUCUCUGAGAUCUGAAAAGAGACAGCGUGAGCUAGCUUCCUCUACUGUGAAAUGACAACUACUAUUAAGUGGGAGCAAAAAUCUGUGAACCAGAUAAAUUACUUAUGUCUGAAGAAAAAGAAGUUGAGCAUGAUCAAUAACAUGGUUGGACAUCCCCAUGUCUGCAGAUUCCUGAUAAAUCAGAACUGAAGGGGGAAACAUAAGAAAGUAAAAAAAAUCCUGUGGAGGAAUUAGCUAGUAAAUCAUUUGCCAAUGAUUUAAAGGUUGUUUAUUUGAAAACUAGAUUUGGUUGGUAUUUUUGGUUUUCAAGUCCAUUUUUUAAAAUAUUUGUUUAUUUUAGAGAGACACAGAGUACACAGAGCACUGCAGAAGGAGCAAAGAAUCUCAAUAGACUCCCCACUGAGCAUGAAGCCCAAUGUGGGGCUCAAUCCCAGGACUCCAAGAUCAUGACCUGAGCCGAAAUCAAGAGUCCGAUGCUUAACUGACUGAGCCACCCAGGCACCCCUCAAAUCCAUUUUUACGUUAAUACAUGUUGUAAGUCCAAACUAGAAACUACUCAAGUGUCCCUAACUACAGAGUGGAUAAAUUAUGAAACAUGCACACACAAUAGGAUAAUACUCGGCAAUAAAAAUGAGUAAACGUCAUUUGCAUAAACAUGGAUGAAUCUCACAACAUUGAACAAAAACAAGUCAUAUACAAAAGAGUACAUACCAUAUAAUUCCAUUUAUAUACAAUCUCAAAAUAGUCAAAACUCAUCAUUGAUUGUUAGAAGUCCAGAUAGUGGCUAUGUAGAGGAAUUGGGAGGCAUAGCCUUAAAGGGAACAUGAGACUAUGCUGGCAGUGUUCUUCCUUUAAAUCUAGAUAUUGGUUAAAUAGGUGUAUUUACUUUAGGAGAAUUCUUCAAACUAUACUUAGGAUUGUACACAGUUUUCUGCAUGCCAUAUUUCACAAAAGUUUCCUUAAGUAAUAUAUAUGUUCACUUUAGAAGAUAUUUUUGAAAAAUUGGAAUAUAUUGAAUAUUCAGUCUUGACACUUGCUUUUCAUUUAACACUGUCAUAAGCAUAUUCUCAUAUUAUUUAAUAUGUUUCAUUGAUAGGAAUGCUAAUACCUUAAUUAUCUUAAGAUAUUUUGAAAAUAAGGAAAUGUUUAUUGUGUAUAUAUGCAUUCACACACUAAUAUGUAGAGUUGUAACAUAAAAACCAGAGUUAAAAACCCAAUACAGAAUAAUUUCUUAAUAUUUUUUUCAUUUUAGACCACUAAGCUAAUGCUACCGAAAGCAUACACACUCUUCCUUCAGCCCAGUAACAGUAAUGAUCUUUAAUUCCUUUUCACAGUGUUCACCUUAAGGUUUAGGUGAUAAACUGGAUCAGUUUACCUAUGCUUCAAUGUUUAGUUUGUGGUUCUUUAGAUUUAAGCUAAAGGAUACAGUUAGAAAAUUAUGUAUAUCAUAAACUACCAGGGUUCAUAAAUCCACAGUGGGACUUUUAUGCCCUACAAGUAGAAUCUCAACAGUGUGACUUUGAGUAAAUUAUACCUCAGUUUCCUCGUCCGUAAGGUUAUCAGGACCUAGGAUUAUAAGUAUUAAAUGAGUGCAUUCAUGUUAGUCUCUUAAAAUAGUAUCUGGCACAGGAGGUACUCUAUAAAAUUUCACCAUUAUUACUGCAACUAACAUUACCACCAAUAAGAUAAUUUGUGGCUUCCCAGUCUGGUGUCUAUGUUUUUAGCCUACCUCCAAUAUUUAAUUAAUUUAUUUUAUUUCUAGGAUAGAAAAUGGAAUUUUAGGCUAUCAGCAAGACUCCUGUCUGCAUCUGUGAUGCAGGGCCUUUGACUCUGUUAUACUCUUUGGAACUAUGGUCUGUAUUUCAAAAGAAACACUCAUCAUUUUUAUGGACUAAGAUAUUAACCUACUCACUUGUAUAGCAAGAAGGCUUUCCAAAGAAACUAAAUAAAGCUCUCCCUCUGGUGUUGAUGCCGGGAUUAGUAAAAGGGAGCAUACUGGAAAAAAUGGAGGAAAUUGGAAAAUAGAAGGGGGGAAAGUGCAUUACCUGGAUAGAAGAUACUUCUCUCAAAGUACUGUUAUUCAUGACUUCUUUUUACUGUUUUUAACAUUUUAAAACAUAUAUUUUAGUGUAAAAUAUGUUUGUUCUAAGGAGAAUUAAGUGUGAUUGUAUGCUUCCUAAUGGCAACCUGUAAUUAUUUUUAUAACCAUCAGCUGUUUAGAUUUCAUAUUUAUGUUUCAGAAGCAUAGUUGGCAUUUGCAGUUGCUUAAUGAAAAGAAAAGAAUAUGUAGAUGCAAAUUAUUUUUCCUCACUUAUCCAAAACAAGCUUACAAAUACUUUAUAUUUUAGCUAAAAACUUAAUAUAAGGAAGGGACUGUUUUGAACUCUGAAAAAGCCAGAUUACCAAAUAGGCAAAAAGAUUUUUUUAAGGGAAUAAUGAAUCUUCAGAAAUUGAGCACACUUUAUUCCUUUAUUCAUUACAGUAUCGUGGGAAAAUUUGGAGCCUAACAGACCUAGAUUCAAAAGUCAUUCCAGUAUGUUAACUAUAUGACCCUGGUGGGACCAUUAAACUUGUAGGCUUCAGUUUAUCCACAUGUUAAAUGGAGGUUAACAACUGAAAAUUCACAGUAUUAUCCAAAUAUUUGAAGAUUUUAAAUGGUUUCCUUCUUUUCAUCCUAACUCCUUUUCUUUCAGUAUUUCAGUAUUUAUCCCCAAUAGUUAAAAAUAAACUAAAGCAAACAUGAUAUUAAUCACUUUUCCUUCUUUGAUUAUUUUAAGUUAGGUUAAAAUGAAAUAGUUUUAAGGACGAAAUUUAUAUAUAAAAAAAUUUUUUUAGGGGUAGGAAGGACAGAGGCACAGAUUUCUCUUAAGAGAGAAUCUUAAGCAGGCUCCACACCCAGCACAGAGCCCAAAGCAGGGCUCAAUCUCAUGAGGCUAGGAUCAUGACCUAAGCUCCAAAGGCAGCCACUUAACCAACUGAGCCACCCAGGCUCUUGAAGAAACUUGAUUCUUGAUAUCUACAAUAUAUUUAUUUAUUUGCUCAAUCUAAUUGCUCAUUCACACUUUGGAUUUUGCUGAGUUUUCAAUAAGUCUAGUUAGAUUGCACAUUUUGAUUCUAAAAUGCACAAAUGACAUGCUCACACACACAUUCAACUAUUGGAAGUGUAUCAACCAACACUAUUUUCAGUCAUAAGUGUCUCUGUGAUAUAUGGUACCACCACAAAGAGAUAUGGGGUCAUCUUUUCUCACAGUUAACAAGUUUUGUUCAUCGUAUCUCCUAGUAGCUCUCAAACUGCUUUGCUUCUCUUUUCCCCAACCUACCACAUCUCUCAGCUAAACUGUCUUCUAGUAGUUCUCUGCACAUCUGGGUGUGAUCCCCUUCAACACAGAGACUCCGUCAGUGAUUCUUUAAAUAUACAAAUGUGAUCAUUUAACUCUUACUCCCUUUGAUGAUAUUCUCUAUAUUUCAGAUAAAAUUUAAAAUCAUUAACAUAGCUUGAAGCACCCUACACACGUGCUCUGACUUCUACCAGUCUUCUGAGCUUCAAAACAUAGAGUAUUCUCUCCACAUCUACAUUAACCUUUUUUGAGUUCCUCUUUUACAUCCUAGAUCUUGCACAUGCUGUUCCCUCUUAUCCUAAGGGUGCUCCUCUUCCUUGCAUUCUCCUUAGUCCUGCUAACUUCCACAUUUUAUUCAAAUCUCAACUUAAAUAUCAUUUUCUCAAAGUAGUUCCUGAACUGCCUUUCUGGGUUAGACUCCCAUGUCAAAUCAUCCCAAAGCAUUUGGCAUUUCUCAGUGACAAUUUAUACUAAACAUAUUUUUAAUUACUUCUUCAGAGUCAGGUUUUCCAGCUAACUUCUUAAGGGAUUUUGUCUGUUGCACACUGCUCUGUUAACGGUGUCUGAAACAGUGUAGAGCACAGAAACAGGGCUCAGCUAAUAGUGAAUGAAUGCUGAAACAAAUGAAUAAAGGAACCAAAAAUUAUUGUCAAAAAAAUGUUAGGUAGAUGCCGGAACCAUGUCAUAAUUGAUAACUACCAGCAAUACAUAGAAACUGAUUUUUGUACAAUUUUUAUGAAUAUAGAGUCUUUUGGAUCCUUUCUGGUGCAUUGUAUUACCAUAUAGUAUUGGAAAUAUCUCUAGAAGGUAGUAAACAGCCUUUCUCUUAUCCAGCAAAUGGAGAAAGGUUAAAGUAGAUUUGAACAAUGAGUCU
Molecule: long non-coding RNA, 5474 nt
Filed under: Canis lupus familiaris (dog)
Lineage: Eukaryota; Metazoa; Chordata; Mammalia; Carnivora; Canidae
Description: lncRNA (ENSCAFG00000057594.1)
Source: RNAcentral